AUACGGAGGGGGUUAGCGUUGUUCGGAAUUACUGGGCGUAAAGCGCACGUAGGCGGACUGGAAAGUUGGGGGUGAAAUCCCGGGGCUCAACCUCGGAACUGCCUCCAAAACUUCCAAUCUAGAGAUCGAGAGAGGUGAGUGGAAUGCCAAGUGUAGAGGUGAAAUUCGUAGAUAUUUGGAGGAACACCAGUGGCGAAGGCGGCUCACUGGCUCGAUACUGACGCUGAGGUGCGAAAGCGUGGGGAGCAAACAGGAUUAGAAACCCGGGUAGUCC
Molecule: ribosomal RNA, 274 nt
Filed under: uncultured bacterium
Lineage: Bacteria
Description: partial 16S ribosomal RNA
Rfam family: Bacterial small subunit ribosomal RNA
Source: RNAcentral